AGUGAGCGCUGGCGGUAGGCCUAACACAUGCAAGUCGAACGGCAGCACAGUAAGAGCUUGCUCUUACGGGUGGCGAGUGGCGGACGGGUGAGGAAUACAUCCGAAUCUACUUUUUCGUGGGGGAUAACGUAGGGAAACUUACGCUAAUACCGCAUACGACCUACGGGUGAAAGCAGGGGAUCUUCGGACCUUGCGCGAUUGAAUGAGCCGAUGUCGGAUUAGCUAGUUGGCGGGGUAAAGGCCCACCAAGGCGACGAUCCGUAGCUGGUCUGAGAGGAUGAUCAGCCACACUGGAACUGAGACACGGUCCAGACUCCUGCGGGAGGCAGCAGUGGGGAAUAUUGGACAAUGGGCGCAAGCCUGAUCCAGCCAUGCCGCGUGGGUGAAGAAGGCCUUCGGGUUGUAAAGCCCUUUUGUUGGGAAAGAAAAGCAGCAGGUUAAUACCCCGCUGUUCUGACGGUACCCAAAGAAUAAGCACCGGCUAACUUCGUG
This 492-nucleotide ribosomal RNA is filed under the name uncultured bacterium. RNAcentral's name for it is "partial 16S ribosomal RNA". It matches the Rfam family "Bacterial small subunit ribosomal RNA", at positions 29 to 507 of the family's 1533-position model. The record is from RNAcentral.